UACAGAGACUGCAAGCGUUAUUCGGAUUCACUGGGCGUAAAGGGUGCGCAGGCGGUCGGGUGUGUCAGAUGUGAAAUCCCGAGGCUCAACCUCGGAACUGCGUCUGAAACUACUCGACUAGAGUACUGGAGAGGGUAACGGAACUCACGGUGUAGCAGUGAAAUGCGUAGAUAUCAAGAGGAACACCAGUGGCGAAGGCGAGUCCCUGGACAAUACCUGACACUGAGGCACGAAAGCCGGGGGAGCAAACAGG
Molecule: ribosomal RNA, 253 nt
Filed under: uncultured prokaryote
Description: partial 16S ribosomal RNA
Rfam family: Bacterial small subunit ribosomal RNA
Source: RNAcentral